Molecule: long non-coding RNA, 2145 nt
Filed under: Anas platyrhynchos (mallard)
Lineage: Eukaryota; Metazoa; Chordata; Aves; Anseriformes; Anatidae
Description: lncRNA (ENSAPLG00020004217.1)
Source: RNAcentral
GCUCGUCGGAGGAGCGGAGGCGCCGCCUCCCGCCGUCGAGGCCACCUCUCCAUGCGCUCUCCGACCCCCUCAUCACCCCCACCACCCUUUUUUUUUCCCUUUUUUUUCCCUUUCACCCCUUUCCAUGACCUCACCCCACCACCACCACCUCCCCAACCUUCCCCCCUGGAUUGGGGUCAGCCUCCGGCCUCGCUCCCCUUCGGGGGUCUCCCUUUUGGCCUCGCCGUCCCCCGGCCUCGCGGCGCGCUCCCGGCUGGCAUCGGCGCGCUGAGCAAACAGGAAACACUCGCCCUUUGUUAAUCCUGGCCCGGGCUGCGCGUUAAAUAUUUAUCUGCCCGCGGAGGCUGGUGCUGGGAGCGGGGCAGAGGGAGGCUGGGACGGAGGCCGGUGGCACGGGGACGCAGCCCGGAGGCUGCCGAGCAGGUGCCCAUCAUCCGCCACCGCGGCUCCAACACGCUGAAUUUCGACUUCCACGACCCCUCCCCAGCUGAGCACGCCCGAGCCGCCCCCAGAACCCCAGGUACCUGCCCCGAGCCUCCCGGGGGCACCCGCCCUGCACCCUUGGGACCCAGCAGCUGCCCCACGCGCUGCCCAGUGACACCCAGGGGCGUCACCACCCUCCCCAUCACCUCGUCCUCAGCCACCGACUGGUACCAGACCUGGCCGGCCAAGGAGGCGAAGGCUCCCGGCACCCCAGCACCCGCUCAGGACCCCAUGCAGGGCCCGGGGGCUGCCGCACCCCCACAUCCCACCCCCAGUUGCCCGCGCCCACCGGGCUGGUCGGCCACAUGGACCAAGGACAGCAAACGGAGGGAGCGGCGCUGGGUGAAGUACGAUGGCAUCGGGCCGGUGGACGAGACGGGGAUGCCCAUCGCCUCGCGCUCGGUGAGUCGGGGGAGUGGGGCCGAGCUCUGCCACCCCCUUGGGACCCUUCCUCACCGUCCCCACGGUGUCCCUGCAGAGUGUUGACCGCCCCCGGGACUGGUACCGCAGCAUGUUCCAGCAGAUCCACCGCAAGCUGCCCGGUGAGUCCCGGUGCCGCCGGUGCCGCCGGUGCCACGGCGCGGCACGGUGCCCCCUCAACCUCCUUCUCCUUCCCCACAGAGCCAGACUGGGACGCCCAGCACUGCCCCACAGAGCCGCGGAGGAAAGGGCAGCCAAAAUCCGAGCGUCCCGGUGUGCCCAACGGGACGGACUGGGCCCAGUGGGGUGACCCCGGUGCCGACGCAGAGCCCGGCAGCAUUUUUGACUACGAACCGGGGAAAUCCUCGGUGCUGGAGCAGCCCGGGCAGCCCCCAGCAGCGGUGCCCAGAGCACGAGCUCAGCCCAUCGAGGUGCUGCUGCAGCAGGAGCUGGAGCAGCUGAGCGAGGAGCUGGACAAGGACAUGAGGGCCAUGGAGACGCGCCAGCAGCCCCGCAAGAGCUCGGCGGCUGCUCCCACCGCUCGCUCCCCUGCUCCGGCCUCUCCGGCGCCUCGGUGAGUACGGCCGCCCGCUCCCCAAAACCCCCAGCCCCAAAACCCCCAGCCCCAAAUCCCCCAGCCCCAAAUCCCACAGCCCCAAAUCCCCCAGCCCCUCUCCAGCCAUGGGAUCACCGCGGGACGGGACCCCACUCGUGGCUGGCUCAUUCCUCGCAGAGAUUUGGCUACUUUGGGGUGCCCACCCUGACAUCCCGCUCGUCCCCACGUCCCCCCCACCACCACCCCGAGCCCCCCCGUGGCUCCGCUGGCUGCGCCCUCCCCACGGCCGGACACGGGUGGGGAGCUCGGAGGCCGGAGCAGCUCCGGGCUGGGCUGGCUGCCCGCUGGGUGGGACGGGGCUGGGACGAGGCUGACCCUUUCCCCUGUCCGGCCCGCGCGGGGACACCGUGUCCCGGAGCUUGGCUCAGCCCCAGGGGAGGUGCCGGGCGCUGGCUUCCCACGCCGCGGGGAGGGGACACCGGUGACAGCAGCCCCUGGGGGUUGGGGAAGCCACCCCCCCUCCAGGACCCCCCCACCCCAUGCACCAGGACCCCAGGGUUCAAUACCGGGGGGUCUUUCCUCGAGCUGCGCCCCAGGAUGGAACAUUUUUGGUGGCACGUCACCCGCUGUCCCCCACAGGAGCCCGCUGUCCCCCCGCCGGCUGCAGAGCCCCCCCGGUGCCCCCC